ACAGGGAUGGCCCUAGUAACGGCGAGUGAAGCGGCAACAGCUCAAAUUUGAAAUCUGGCGCAAGCCCGAGUUGUAAUUUGUAGAGGAUGCUUCUGGGUAGCGACCGAUCUAAGUUCCUUGGAACAGGACGUCAUAGAGGGUGAGAAUCCCGUAUGUGACCGGCCCGCACCCUUUACGUAGCUCCUUCGACGAGUCGAGUUGUUUGGGAAUGCAGCUCUAAAUGGGAGGUAAAUUUCUUCUAAAGCUAAAUACCGGCCAGAGACCGAUAGCGCACAAGUAGAGUGAUCGAAAGAUGAAAAGUACUUUGGAAAGAGAGUUAAAAAGCACGUGAAAUUGUUGAAAGGGAAGCGCCUGCAACCAGACUUCGCGGCAGUGUUCCGCCGGUCUUCUGACCGGUUCAUUCUCUGUCGCGAGGCCAUCAUCGUCUGGGCCCGCCGGAUAAGACCUGAGGAAUGUGGCUCCCCCUCGGGGGAGUGUUAUAGCCUCUGGUGAUGCGGCGUGGCUCGGGCGAGGUCCGCGCUUCGGCAAGGAUGAUGGCGUAAUGGUUGUCGGCGGCCCGUCUUGAAACACGGACCAAGGAGUCUAACAUCUAUGCGAGUGUUCGGGUGUCAAACCCCUACGCGUAAUGAAAGUGAACGGAGGUGGGAACCGCAAGGUGCACCAUCGACCGAUCCUGAUGUCCUCGGAUGGAUUUGAGUAAGAGCAUAGCUGUUGGGACCCGAAAGAUGGUGAACUAUGCCUGAAUAGGGUGAAGCCAGAGGAAACUCUGGUGGAGGCUCGCAGCGGUUCUGACGUGCAAAUCGAUCGUCAAAUUUGGGUAUAGGGGCGAAAGACUAAUCGAACCAUCUAGUAGCUGGGUUCCUGCGAA
Molecule: ribosomal RNA, 868 nt
Filed under: Cercospora beticola
Lineage: Eukaryota; Fungi; Ascomycota; Dothideomycetes; Mycosphaerellales; Mycosphaerellaceae
Description: LSU rRNA
Rfam family: Eukaryotic large subunit ribosomal RNA
Source: RNAcentral